This 253-nucleotide ribosomal RNA is filed under the name uncultured bacterium. Its description in RNAcentral is "partial 16S ribosomal RNA". It matches the Rfam family "Bacterial small subunit ribosomal RNA", at positions 524 to 776 of the family's 1533-position model. The record is from RNAcentral.
UACGUAGGGGGCAAGCGUUGUCCGGAGUUACUGGGCGGAAAGCGCACGCAGGCGGUCUCUUAAGUUUGGAGUGACAGUUGGUGGCUUAACUGCCAAAGUGCUUCGAAAACUGAGAGACUUGAGGGCUUCAGAGGGACACGGAAUUCCGGGUGGAGUGGUGAAAUGCGUAGAGAUCCGGAGGAACACCAAAGGCGAAGGCAGUGUCCUGGGGAGUACCUGACGCUCAGGUGCGAAAGCCAGGGGAGCGAACGGG